UCCCUGGCGGCUCAGACGGUCAAGUGUCUGCCUGCAAUGCAGGAGACCCAGGUUUGAUUCCUGGGUUGGGAA
Transfer RNA from Ovis aries (sheep), 72 nucleotides. It matches the Rfam family "tRNA". Rfam says of the family: Transfer RNA (tRNA) molecules are approximately 80 nucleotides in length. Their secondary structure includes four short double-helical elements and three loops (D, anti-codon, and T loops). NCBI's taxonomy places the organism in Eukaryota, Metazoa, Chordata, Mammalia, Artiodactyla, Bovidae. The record is from Rfam.